GACGAACGCUGGCGGCGUGCCUAAUACAUGCAAGUCGAGCGAAGUUUUUCUGGUGCUUGCACUAGAAAAACUUAGCGGCGAACGGGUGAGUAACACGUAAAGAACCUGCCUCAUAGACUGGGACAACUAUUGGAAACGAUAGCUAAUACCGGAUAACAGCAUUAACUGCAUGGUUGAUGUUUGAAAGUUGGUUAUGCUAACACUAUGAGAUGGCUUUGCGGUGCAUUAGCUGGUUGGUGGGGUAAAGGCCCACCAAGGCGACGAUGCAUAGCCGACCUGAGAGGGUGAUCGGCCACACUGGGACUGAGACACGGCCCAGACUCCUACGGGAGGCAGCAGUAGGGAAUCUUCCGCAAUGGGCGAAAGCCUGACGGAGCAACGCCGCGUGAGUGAAGAAGGAUUUCGGUUCGUAAAGCUCUGUUGUUAGGGAAGAAUGGAUAUGUAGUAACUAUACAUGUACGAGACGGUACCUAACCAGAAAGCCACGGCUAACUACGUGCCAGCAGCCGCGGUAAUACGUAGGUGGCAAGCGUUGUCCGGAAUUAUUGGGCGUAAAGCGCGCGCAGGUGGUUUAAUAAGUCUGAUGUGAAAGCCCACGGCUCAACCGUGGAGGGUCAUUGGAAACUGUUAAACUUGAGUGCAGGAGAGAAAAGUGGAAUUCCUAGUGUAGCGGUGAAAUGCGUAGAGAUUAGGAGGAACACCGGUGGCGAAGGCGGCUUUUUGGCCUGUAACUGACACUGAGGCGCGAAAGCGUGGGGAGCAAACAGG
Molecule: ribosomal RNA, 768 nt
Filed under: uncultured bacterium
Lineage: Bacteria
Description: bacterial SSU rRNA
Rfam family: Bacterial small subunit ribosomal RNA
Source: RNAcentral